GGGUGGUUAGCUCAGUUGGUUAGAGCGCCGGUUUCACAUACCGGAGGUCGGCGGUUCGAAUCCGCCACCGCCCA
This 74-nucleotide transfer RNA is filed under the name Gemmatimonadota bacterium. RNAcentral's name for it is "Gemmatimonadetes bacterium tRNA-Val". It matches the Rfam family "tRNA". Rfam says of the family: Transfer RNA (tRNA) molecules are approximately 80 nucleotides in length. Their secondary structure includes four short double-helical elements and three loops (D, anti-codon, and T loops). Further hydrogen bonds mediate the characteristic L-shaped molecular structure. tRNAs have two regions of fundamental functional importance: the anti-codon, which is responsible for specific mRNA codon recognition, and the 3' end, to which the tRNAs corresponding amino acid is attached (by aminoacyl-tRNA synthetases). tRNAs cope with the degeneracy of the genetic code in two manners: having more than one tRNA (with a specific anti-codon) for a particular amino acid; and 'wobble' base-pairing, i.e. permitting non-standard base-pairing at the 3rd anti-codon position. Lineage: Bacteria; Pseudomonadati; Gemmatimonadota. The record is from RNAcentral.